CAGGCCCCAGGAGAGCUGCUGCUCUGGCUGCCAGCUUGGUUCCCAAGGGCCCUGCUUAUCCUUUGCCUUCCCUCCUGAGCCAGGGGUCAGGACUGAGGGUCCCUCUGAGGCAAAACCCCCCAAGUGCCCUGGAGACACCAAGCUGGACACUCUGUGGUCACAUCAGGAAAUGCUGUAGGGAAGAAAGUGUGCUGUCACCUAUAAGUGUGUAUAACAGUUCGAGUUUAUGUUUGAGGAAAGGAGAGCAGGGUGGCUAGAAGGGUCACUGAUAAUGGUCUUAGAGCUCCUUUGGGUGAGUGUGAGUGACA
Long non-coding RNA from Lepidothrix coronata (blue-crowned manakin), 308 nucleotides. RefSeq lists it as uncharacterized. The transcript is spliced from 3 exons. The record is from RefSeq and is a predicted model, not a curated record. Lineage: Eukaryota; Metazoa; Chordata; Aves; Passeriformes; Pipridae.